UACACACCGCCCGUCACGCCAUGGAAGCUGCGAGUGCCCGAAGUCGGUGUCGGAACCGAAAGGACCAAGCCGCCUAAGGCAAGCGUAGUGACUGGGGCGAAGUCGUAACAAGGUACCC
This 118-nucleotide ribosomal RNA is filed under the name uncultured bacterium. Its description in RNAcentral is "partial 16S ribosomal RNA". It matches the Rfam family "Bacterial small subunit ribosomal RNA", at positions 1384 to 1501 of the family's 1533-position model. The record is from RNAcentral.